This 450-nucleotide ribosomal RNA is filed under the name uncultured bacterium. RNAcentral describes it as "bacterial SSU rRNA". It matches the Rfam family "Bacterial small subunit ribosomal RNA", at positions 354 to 796 of the family's 1533-position model. The record is from RNAcentral.
GUGGGGAAUAUUGGACAAUGGGCGAAAGCCUGAUCCAGCCAUGCCGCGUGUGUGAAGAAGGUCUUCGGAUUGUAAAGCACUUUAAGUUGGGAGGAAGGGCAGUAAGUUAAUACCUUGCUGUUUUGACGUUACCGACAGAAUAAGCACCGGCUAACUUCGUGCCAGCAGCCGCGGUAAUACGAAGGGUGCAAGCGUUAAUCGGAAUUACUGGGCGUAAAGCGCGCGUAGGUGGUUUUGUAAGUUGGAGGUGAAAUCCCCGGGCUCAACCUGGGAACUGCAUCCAAAACUGCAUGACUAGAGUACGGUAGAGGGUAGUGGAAUUUCCUGUGUAGCGGUGAAAUGCGUAGAUAUAGGAAGGAACACCAGUGGCGAAGGCGACUACCUGGACUGAUACUGACACUGAGGUGCGAAAGCGUGGGGAGCAAACAGGAUUAGAAACCCGUGUAGUCC